CCUACGGGGGGCAGCAGUGAGGAAUAUUGGUCAAUGGCCGAGAGGCUGAACCAGCCAAGUCGCGUGAGGGAUGACGGCCCUACGGGUUGUAAACUUCUUUUGUCGGGGAACAAAGGGCGCCACGUGUGGCGUUGUGAGUGUACCCGAAGAAAAAGCAUCGGCUAACUCCGUGCCAGCAGCCGCGGUAAUACGGAGGAUGCGAGCGUUAUCCGGAUUUAUUGGGUUUAAAGGGUGCGUAGGCGGUCCGGAAAGUCAGCGGUAAAAGCCCGGGGCUCAACCCCGGCGAGCCGUUGAAACUGUCGGAC
Molecule: ribosomal RNA, 305 nt
Filed under: uncultured bacterium
Lineage: Bacteria
Description: bacterial SSU rRNA
Rfam family: Bacterial small subunit ribosomal RNA
Source: RNAcentral